AUUGAACGCUGGCGGCAGGCCUAACACAUGCAAGUCGAACGAGUGGCGGACGGGUGAGUAAUGUCUGGGAAACUGCCCGAUGGAGGGGGAUAACUACUGGAAACGGUAGCUAAUACCGCAUACCAUCGGAUGUGCCCAAGUGGGAUUAGCUAGUAGGUGGGGUAACGGCUCACCUAGGCGACGCUCCCUAGCUGGUCUGAGAGGAUGACCAGCCACACCGGAACUGAGACACGGCCCGGACUCCUACGGGAGGCAGCAGUGGGGAAUAUUGCGCAAUGGGCGCAAGCCUGAUGCAGCCAUGCCGCGUGUAUGAAGAAGGCCUUCGGGUUGUAUAGUACUUUCAGCGAGGAGGCGUUACUCGCAGAAGAAGCACCGGCUAACUCCGUGCCAGCAGCCGCGGUAAUAC
This 406-nucleotide ribosomal RNA is filed under the name uncultured bacterium. RNAcentral describes it as "partial 16S ribosomal RNA". It matches the Rfam family "Bacterial small subunit ribosomal RNA", at positions 30 to 526 of the family's 1533-position model. The record is from RNAcentral.